GUCCUACUUCAUCCCUUCCGUUCUUUUGCUUCAGCCCAGCCGUCGCCCUCCUUUCCUCUGAAGCCACGAUUUCUCUGAACCAAUAGUCUCUCAAGUCUCAUCUUACGCCGCCCAACCCACAAGCCCUCCCCCUCUGCCAUAGCCAGCAUCGUCUCAAUCUCAUUUCAGUUUUUUAGUAUCUUCUUCAACCUCUCUCUUAUCUCAGUCCUGGCUCUCGCUUCUUCACAGACGACCUUCAACCUCAAGCUCGCCGCUCC
RNAcentral lists this unclassified non-coding RNA (257 nucleotides) under Hevea brasiliensis (rubber tree). Lineage: Eukaryota; Viridiplantae; Streptophyta; Magnoliopsida; Malpighiales; Euphorbiaceae. The record is from RNAcentral.